UGCGUUGAAGGCUAUGAGCGUAGGCUCGGCUGGAGCUUCCGUCAGUGCAGAUCGUAAUGGUAGUAGCAAAUAUUCAAGUUCGAUCCUUGAAGACUGAAGUGGAGAAGGGUUCCACGUGAACAGUAGUUGGAUGUGGGUCAGUCGAUCCUAAGGUACUGGCGAAAGCCUUGUAUCAUCGGUGGCGAAAAGCUUGCUUUUUGUCCCCGCCCGUCGAAAGGGAAUAGGGUUAAUAUUCCCUAACUGAGAUGCAAAGAUUGUGUUCUUCGGAGCACAAGCGCGGUAACGCGUUCGAACUUGGUAAGUCGCUCAGAGACCGAGCUAGAGUUUUCUUCUCUAGUUAAGGAACGGACUCCCUGGAAUUGGUUCAGCCAGAGAUGGGGACGUUGUUUCCGAAAAGCACCGCGGUUUCUGUGGUGUCUCGUGCUCUCUGAACGGCCCUUUAAACACCAAGGGAGGCUAUUAAUUUGCACUCAAUCGUACCGAUAUCCGCAUUAGGUCUCCAAGGUGAACAGCCUCUAGUCGAUAGAAUAAUGUAGGUAAGGGAAGUCGGCAAACUAGAUCCGUAACUUCGGGAAAAGGAUUGGCUCCAGUGGUCGGAACGGUUGGCCAGUUGGUUGAUGCUUGUCCGGCGCUGUUCUGUCUGCUUGAUGCUUUCGGGCUGAUGGCGGCCUAGUGAUAGUGCUUGCUUGUUGACGCUUUCUGGUGUGUGCUUUGACCUCGGUCUUAGUAUCCUGAUCGUUCAUCUAAACGACUAAACUGGAACCGGUACGGACUCAGGGAAUCCGACUGUCUAAUUAAAACAGAGGUGACAGAUGGUCCUUGCGGACGCUGACUGUCACUGAUUUCUGCCCAGUGCUCUGAAUGUUAAAUCGUAGUAAUUCGAGUAAGCGCGGGUAGACGGCGGGAGUAACUAUGACUCUCUUAAGGUAGCCAAAUGCCUCGUCAUUUAAUUGUUGACGCGCAUGAAUGGAUUAACGAGAUUCCUACUGUCCCUAACUACUAUCUAGCGAAACCACAGCCAAGGGAACGGGCUUGGCAAAAAUAGCGGGGAAAGAAGACCCUGUUGAGCUUGACUCUAGUUUGACAUUGUGAAGAGUCAUGAGAGGUGUAGCAUAGGUGGGAGUCUUCGGACGCCAAUGAAAUACCACCACUUUCAUCGACUCUUUACUUAUUCGGUUAAAAGAGAAUUGGUCGCAAGGCCUCUUUUCGAAGUAUUAAGCGGAGGCAUUUUAUGGAACCGUGACUCUCCCCGAAGACAGUGUCAAGCGGGGAGUUUGACUGGGGCGGUACAUCUAUCAAAUCGUAACGUAGGUGUCCUAAGGCGAGCUCAGAGAGGACGGAAACCUCUCGUAGAGCAAAAGGGCAAAAGCUUGCUUGAUCUUGACUUUCAGUACGAGUACAGACCCGCGAAAGCGUGGCCUAUCGAUCCUUUUAAUUUUCCAGAUUGUUUCUGGUAAGAGGUGUCAGAAAAGUUACCACAGGGAUAACUGGCUUGUGGCAGCCAAGCGUCCAUAGCGACGUUGCUUUUUGAUCCUUCGAUGUCGGCUCUUCCUAUCAUUGCGAAGCAGAAUCGCCAAGCGUUGGGAUUGUCACUCACUAAUAAGGGAACGUGAGCUGGGUUU
Non-coding RNA from Caenorhabditis japonica, 1622 nucleotides. The record is from Rfam. NCBI's taxonomy places the organism in Eukaryota, Metazoa, Nematoda, Chromadorea, Rhabditida, Rhabditidae.